Molecule: ribosomal RNA, 373 nt
Filed under: uncultured organism
Description: bacterial SSU rRNA
Rfam family: Bacterial small subunit ribosomal RNA
Source: RNAcentral
CGUAGGGUGCGAGCGUUAAUCGGAAUUACUGGGCGUAAAGCGUGCGCAGGCGGUUUUGUAAGACAGGCGUGAAAUCCCCGGGCUCAACCUGGGAACUGCGCUUGUGACUGCAAGGCUAGAGUACGGCAGAGGGGGGUGGAAUUCCACGUGUAGCAGUGAAAUGCGUAGAGAUGUGGAGGAACACCAAUGGCGAAGGCAGCCCCCCUGGGUCGAUACUGACGCUCAUGCACGAAAGCGUGGGUAGCAAACAGGAUUAGAUACCCUGGUAGUCCACGCCCUAAACGAUGUCAACUAGGUGUUGGGUGGGUAAAACCAUUUAGUACCGGAGCUAACGCGUGAAGUUGACCGCCUGGGGAGUACGGCCGCAAGGUUG